This 409-nucleotide ribosomal RNA is filed under the name uncultured Helicobacter sp. RNAcentral's name for it is "bacterial SSU rRNA". It matches the Rfam family "Bacterial small subunit ribosomal RNA", at positions 236 to 668 of the family's 1533-position model. The record is from RNAcentral. Lineage: Bacteria; Pseudomonadati; Campylobacterota; Epsilonproteobacteria; Campylobacterales; Helicobacteraceae.
ACCCACCCCUCGUAGAACUGUUCUUACCAGGCUAUGACGGGUAUCCGGCCUGAGAGGGUGAACGGACACACUGGAACUGAGACACGGUCCAGACUCCUACGGGAGGCAGCAGUAGGGAAUAUUGCUCAAUGGGGGAAACCCUGAAGCAGCAACGCCGCGUGGAGGAUGAAGGUUUUAGGAUUGUAAACUCCUUUUGUUAGAGAAGAUAAUGACGGUAUCUAACGAAUAAGCACCGGCUAACUCCGUGCCAGCAGCCGCGGUAAUACGGAGGGUGCAAGCGUUACUCGGAAUCACUGGGCGUAAAGAGCGCGUAGGCGGGAUAGUCAGUCAGGUGUGAAAUCCUAUGGCUUAACCAUAGAAUUGCAUUUGAAACUACUAUUCUAGAGUGUGGGAGAGGUAGGGUGGAAUA